Molecule: ribosomal RNA, 496 nt
Filed under: uncultured bacterium
Lineage: Bacteria
Description: partial 16S ribosomal RNA
Rfam family: Bacterial small subunit ribosomal RNA
Source: RNAcentral
AUGAACGCUGGCGGCGUGCCUAAUACAUGCCAGUCGAGCGAACAGAUAAGGAGCUUGCUCCUUUGACGUUAGCGGCGGACGGGUGAGUAACACGUGGGUAACCUACCUAUAAGACUGGAAUAACUCCGGGAAACCGGGGCUAAUGCCGGAUAACAUUUAGAACCGCAUGGUUCUAAAGUGAAAGAUGGUUUUACUAUCACUUAUAGAUGGACCCGCGCCGUAUUAGCUAGUUGGUAAGGUAACGGCUUACCAAGGCAACGAUACGUAGCCGACCUGAGAGGGUGAUCGGCCACACUGGAACUGAGACACGGUCCAGACUCCUACGGGAGGCAGCAGUAGGGAAUCUUCCGCAAUGGGCGAAAGCCUGACGGAGCAACGCCGCGUGAGUGAUGAAGGUCUUCGGAUCGUAAAACUCUGUUAUUAGGGAAGAACAAAUGUGUAAGUAACUGUGCACGUCUUGACGGUACCUAAUCAGAAAGCCACGGCUAACUACGUG